This 497-nucleotide ribosomal RNA is filed under the name uncultured bacterium. Its description in RNAcentral is "partial 16S ribosomal RNA". It matches the Rfam family "Bacterial small subunit ribosomal RNA", at positions 29 to 523 of the family's 1533-position model. The record is from RNAcentral.
AUUGAACGCUGGCGGCACGCCUAACACAUGCAAGUCGAACGCGAAAGUCCUUCGGGAUGAGUAGAGUGGCGGACGGGUGAGUAACGCAUAGGAAUCUAUCCUGUAGUGGGGGAUAACGUUUCGAAAGGAACGCUAAUACCGCAUACGCCCCACGGGGGAAAGCGGGGGAUCUUCGGACCUCGUGCUAUAGGAGGAGCCUGCGUCGGUUUAGCUAGUUGGUGAGGUAAAGGCUAACCAAGGCGACGAUCCGUAGCGGGGCUGAGAGGAUGAUCAGCCACACCGGAACUGAGACACGGUCCGGACUCCUACGGGAGGCAGCAGUGGGGAAUAUUGCGCAAUGGGCGAAAGCCUGACGCAGCCAUACCGCGUGUGUGAAGAAGGCCUUCGGGUUGUAAAGCACUUUCAGUGGGGAGGAAAAGCUGGUGGCUAAUAUCCACCGGCCGUGACGCUACCCACAGAAGAAGCACCGGCUAAUUCCGUGCCAGCCGCCGCUGUAA